Molecule: long non-coding RNA, 912 nt
Organism: Caretta caretta (loggerhead turtle)
Lineage: Eukaryota; Metazoa; Chordata; Testudines; Cheloniidae
Source: RefSeq, a predicted model, not a curated record
GGAAAUCUAGGCGGAGCUAUUGCAUUGAUAGAAAAUGCAAAAAGCCCAUGCUCUAGCUUGGACCCUGAGCUGGACGGCUCGUGAGUUCAAAGGGGCAUUCUGCUUUGGAGCCAUCUCUAGGCCAAGGCAGGGUAAAAGCCACAUGAAGGGAGCAGAGAAUGUGUCUCGGGGCAUUUCUACAUUGCAGCCGGAGGGGUGACUGCAGCGCCAUGGCCCAAUAGAGCAGUGAAGAUGCAGUGGCAUGGAGCCUAGGAGGACCUCAGGUCUGCCUUGUGCGUGACCAGCUGCAUCUUCCAGGCCAGUGAGUCGGCUGAGUAAGGAGCAUCUCUGCCAAGGGGGCUGCAGCGAGUGGAGGCAUCUCUGUACCUCGUGCGAUAGAGGCCUGUGCGUUUGGGGAUGAAGGUUGAGAUUUCUCUUCCUGUGUGCUACAUGGAGGAAGUGCAGCUGAGCGGAUGUCUGUUCAUGUAUGUGGCAGACAUUAAUUAGUUUGGUUUGCCUUACGGUAGUAUAUGGUAUUACAGAAUGCCAUUUGGAAGUAGAAACGACUUAGGACUGGAUUGAAAGGUCUGGGGAUAUUGUAAGAGCAGAGGGAAGAUCCAUUCUGGCGUAGUUGUUGAAAUGUGCCUUGAAGUUGCUUUAUCAUUAUACUUUGGCUUGGCAGAAUUCCAGCUCUAUUUUUUGAUCAUUUCAAAAGAUAAUAUCAAUGUUUAUAUUUUUAAGCAUAUUUUCUAUUUUAUCAAUUUCAGUUUUCACAGUUGUGCAAAAUACUGGGUGUUAAGGCAUUUGUUGUUUUUUGUAUCUAUUUCAGUGUUGCAGGAAAUGAUGGGUAGGUCAGCCAAUAGUUAUCUAAUGACAGUAGAUAUGGAAAUUCAAAAAGUGAAAGCUUUAUAACCCUUAAAACAAAACUGUUCA